Brassica napus (rape) is the source of this 858-nucleotide long non-coding RNA. RefSeq lists it as uncharacterized. The record is from RefSeq and is a predicted model, not a curated record. The transcript is spliced from 2 exons. Lineage: Eukaryota; Viridiplantae; Streptophyta; Magnoliopsida; Brassicales; Brassicaceae.
GGUAUUAAAGCGUAUUAUAAUUUCUUUUCUCUAAUCGAACAAAGAAAAUAGAACACUAGAGGUUCUUUUCAUGUGUAUCUUUUAGCUAAGGUUUUCAUCAUAUGUUGUUUUAUUAUUGAGAUGUUUUAUAACAACAGUAGUCAACACUGCUAGAAUUAUACAAGAGAACAACUCGUUUAUACAAACUUACACCAAGCCGGCUAUCAAAUAUGUAAAGACACAUAUUUCAUAUAAGGAUGACAAAGCCCAAAAACACCAGAGCGAGCUAAUUAAGAAAGCUAUUUUCUCUCCAAACCUUUGGUUCUAUAUCACUCAUGUCCAGUUGUCUUAGUAGAUUCUGUAAACAAUGAUUCUGCUUAAAAGCAAAUAAAUUCUAGUUGGCAAAAGAAAAAUUUCUAGCUUAGAAAUUAAUUAACAAUCAUUCUUCUAAUUUCUUUAGAGUUGGGGAAUAUAUUAGCGUUAAGGCCCAAACGCUUACAACGUUAAGGCCCAAACAUCUAGCUAGGGUUUUCAAGGGUAUGGUAUAUAUUCACAGUGACGCUUCAUUUCUUUUCUUGUUACCGUCACCGUGAAUCCGCGUUUUGAGAAAAAAGAGUCUCCACCAUGAGAGCCAAGUGGAAGAAGAAGCGUAUGAGGAGGUUGAAGAGGAAGAGACGAAAGAUGAGACAGCGAUCUAAGUAGACAUAGAGAGAUUCCAAGUCUUUUCAAUCUGCUUCCUUGUUUCUGUUACUUUCCCUAAGUACUUUUGUUUGAUCUUGUUUCAGUUUUAUGUUUUCUUGGCUUCGUUCUUGUCGGAUUUGUAUGGAUCCUCCACUAAUGUUAAAGCUUUAUCUACCUAAUCACAUUUUCACCAGUUUA